GGGCGCUUAGCUCAGCGGGAGAGCACUGCCCUUACAAGGCAGGGGUCGCAGGUUCGAACCCUGCAGCGCCCA
Molecule: transfer RNA, 72 nt
Filed under: Gemmataceae bacterium
Lineage: Bacteria; Pseudomonadati; Planctomycetota; Planctomycetia; Gemmatales; Gemmataceae
Description: tRNA-Val
Rfam family: tRNA
About the family: Transfer RNA (tRNA) molecules are approximately 80 nucleotides in length. Their secondary structure includes four short double-helical elements and three loops (D, anti-codon, and T loops).
Source: RNAcentral